CCUACGGGUGGCUGCAGUGAGGAAUAUUGGUCAAUGACCGUAAGGCUGAACCAGCCGAGUCGCGUGAAGGAAGAAGGAUCUCUGGUUUGUAAACUUCUUUUAUAGGGGAAUAAAGGUAUCCACGUGUGGAUAUUUGCAUGUACCCUAUGAAUAAGCAUCGGCUAACUCCGUGCCAGCAGCCGCGGUAAUACGGAGGAUGCGAGCGUUAUCCGGAUUUAUGGGGUUUAAAGUGUGCGUAGGUUGUUUUUUAAGUCAGCGGUGAAAGUUUGUGGAUCAAACAUAAAAUUGCCGUUGAUACUGGAAGACUUGAGUGUGUUAGAGGUAGGCGGAAUGCGAGGUGAAGCGGUGAAAUGCAGAGAUAUCACGCAGAACUCCGAUUGCGAAGGCAGCUUACUAAGCCAUAACUGACACUGAAGGACGAAAGCGUGGGGAUCAAACAGGAUUAGAUACCCCUGUAGUC
This 460-nucleotide ribosomal RNA is filed under the name uncultured bacterium. RNAcentral describes it as "partial 16S ribosomal RNA". It matches the Rfam family "Bacterial small subunit ribosomal RNA", at positions 338 to 795 of the family's 1533-position model. The record is from RNAcentral.